CAGCAGCCGCGGGAAUACGAACCGUGCGAACGUUAUUCGGAAUCACUGGGCUUAAAGCGCGUGUAGGUGGGUGGGUACGUCCGUCGUUGAAAGCCCCCGGCUCAACCGGGGAACUGGCGCGGAUACGGCCUACCUGGAGGGACGUAGGGGGACCUGGAACUUCCGGUGGAGCGGUGAAAUGCGUUGAGAUCGGAAGGAACGCCCGUGGCGAAAGCGAGGUCCUGGACGUUUUCUGACACUGAGACGCGAAAGCCAGGGGAGCGAACGGGAUUAGAUACCCCUGUAGUCCCUGUCUCUUAUU
This 301-nucleotide ribosomal RNA is filed under the name uncultured bacterium. Its description in RNAcentral is "partial 16S ribosomal RNA". It matches the Rfam family "Bacterial small subunit ribosomal RNA", at positions 509 to 807 of the family's 1533-position model. The record is from RNAcentral.